GACGAACGCUGGCGGCGUGCUUAACACAUGCAAGUCGAACGGAAAGGCCCUGCUUUUGUGGGGUGCUCGAGUGGCGAACGGGUGAGUAACACGUGAGUAACAUGCCCUUGACUUUGGGAUAACUUCAGGAAACUGGGGCUAAUACCGGAUAGGAGCUCCUGCUGCAUGGUGGGGGUUGGAAAGUUUCGGCGGUUGGGGAUGGACUCGCGGCUUAUCAGCUUGUUGGUGGGGUAGUGGCUUACCAAGGCUUUGACGGGUAGCCGGCCUGAGAGGGUGAACGGGCACAUGAGGACUGAGAUACGGACCAGACUCCUACGGGAGGCAGCAGUGGGGAAUAUUGCACAAUGGGCGGGAGCCUGAUGCAGCAACGCCGCGUGCGGGAUGACGGCCUUCGGGUUGUAAACCGCUUUCGCCUGUGACGAAGCGUGAGUGACGGUAAUGAGUAAAGAAGCACCGGCUAACUACGUG
This 468-nucleotide ribosomal RNA is filed under the name uncultured bacterium. RNAcentral describes it as "partial 16S ribosomal RNA". It matches the Rfam family "Bacterial small subunit ribosomal RNA", at positions 28 to 507 of the family's 1533-position model. The record is from RNAcentral.